AUCGAACGCUGGCGGCAGGCUUAACACAUGCAAGUCGAGCGGGGAAGGGUAGCUUGCUACCUGACCUAGCGGCGGACGAGUGAGUAAUGCUUAGGAAUCUGCCUAUUAGUGGGGGACAACAUUCCGAAAGGAAUGCUAAUACCGCAUACGCCCUACGGGGGAAAGCAGGGGAUCUUCGGACCUUGCGCUAAUAGAUGAGCCUAAGUCAGAUUAGCUAGUUGGUGGGGUAAAGGCCUACCAAGGCGACGAUCUGUAGCGGGUCUGAGAGGAUGAUCCGCCACACUGGGACUGAGACACGGCCCAGACUCCUACGGGAGGCAGCAGUGGGGAAUAUUGGACAAUGGGCGAAAGCCUGAUCCAGCCAUGCCGCGUGUGUGAAGAAGGCCUUUUGGUUGUAAAGCACUUUAAGCGAGGAGGAGGCUACCGAGAUUAAUACUCUUGGAUAGUGGACGUUACUCGCAGAAUAAGCACCGGCUAACUCUGUGCCAGCCGCCGCAGUAA
Molecule: ribosomal RNA, 501 nt
Filed under: uncultured bacterium
Lineage: Bacteria
Description: partial 16S ribosomal RNA
Rfam family: Bacterial small subunit ribosomal RNA
Source: RNAcentral